UACGAAGGGGGCUAGCGUUGCUCGGAAUUACUGGGCGUAAAGCGCACGUAGGCGGCUCUUUAAGUCGGAGGUGAAAUCCUGGAGCUCAACUCCAGAACUGCCUUCGAUACUGAAGAGCUCGAGUCCGGGAGAGGUGAGUGGAACUGCGAGUGUAGAGGUGAAAUUCGUAGAUAUUCGCAAGAACACCAGUGGCGAAGGCGGCUCACUGGCCCGAUACUGACGCCCAGGUGCGAAAGCCAGGGGAGCGAACGGG
RNAcentral lists this ribosomal RNA (253 nucleotides) under uncultured bacterium. RNAcentral's name for it is "partial 16S ribosomal RNA". It matches the Rfam family "Bacterial small subunit ribosomal RNA", at positions 524 to 776 of the family's 1533-position model. The record is from RNAcentral.